Long non-coding RNA from Calidris pugnax (ruff), 1061 nucleotides. RefSeq lists it as uncharacterized. The transcript has 3 exons. NCBI's taxonomy places the organism in Eukaryota, Metazoa, Chordata, Aves, Charadriiformes, Scolopacidae. The record is from RefSeq and is a predicted model, not a curated record.
ACCCCAUGUCAUUCUGUGAAUGCUCCAGGGUGAUAAAGAUACUCUGAAUUCCAAACCCCCUAAAUGCAUUUUCCUCUAAUUGAUAUUAUUCAGAGAUGUUAUCUCUAGUGAUAGAGUGCAGAAAUCAGACUGAGUUACUUAAUUCCCUUUCUAUGAAAUACCAUUUUCCAUUUCUUCAGAAGACAGAGACACCCCUGACUGAUAAGAAAAGAACGAAGAGAUGCCAGCGAACAUACAUUGUAUUACUUAGCUCAGGAGGUGUUUUCCCAGGGAAUGGCAAGCUGCACCACGGUGUCUGACAAAGCUUACCUCGUGAGCAGGAAUGGCAAAUGCUACAGGUAGUGGAUGUUGGCCACCACGUGUCACAACACGCUGGAAACAUUUCAUGACUAUUUUGACAAGAACAAUUUAAAGCAACCUAAUAAUCUACAGCAACGCUAAAAUAUUUAGGAACCGAGGAGUGGAAAGAAAUCCAGACCCGGUUUCUCCACGUGCAUCAAGUGUAUCCAAGCCUCUUAUUCCUUUCAUGAUUCUGUGAUUCUUAUGCCUACAUUAUUAUGCCUACAACAAUCCAACAUUAGCAGUGGAUAGAAGUAUUGAGGAGGUAUCAGGAUUUUGGGACAUUCCCUCUCCAGUGACUUUUACAUGUCCACCUUCCCUCUUAACACCUCUAAAGCCAAGGAUGAAUGCCACCAAGAUGGGCAACCUGAACUACUCCAGAAUCAAUGUAUAAAUAGGGAAGUCUUGACAUAAUUAUUUUGGGAGUUGUUUAUUUUGACUAACAUCUGUACACUUUGAUGCUUCCUCUUGGAAAUAAAUACUUGGAGUGGAGGGGGAAAGGGAACAAGGAGAAAAAUCCAUUCUGACCCUCGGUUGGCCUUUUGACGAUAGGUGUUAUAUUGAUUCCCCCCCCCAAACAUCAGCAAGCACAAGUCAGUGUCAUCCCUUCAAGCAUGAUGUUAUUUAAAACGCCUACGCACACUGGUAGGCUCCAAAGUCACUUUGAAAAUGAGUAGGUGGCAACAUCAUUAAGCUAUAAAAUGGCAUUUUAAAAAUAACUG